Molecule: ribosomal RNA, 323 nt
Filed under: Klebsiella pneumoniae
Lineage: Bacteria; Pseudomonadati; Pseudomonadota; Gammaproteobacteria; Enterobacterales; Enterobacteriaceae
Description: bacterial SSU rRNA
Rfam family: Bacterial small subunit ribosomal RNA
Source: RNAcentral
ACUUAAAUUGAAGAGUUUGAUCAUGGCUCAGAUUGAACGCUGGCGGCAGGCCUAACACAUGCAAGUCGAGCGGUAGCACAGAGAGCUUGCUCUCGGGUGACGAGCGGCGGACGGGUGAGUAAUGUCUGGGAAACUGCCUGAUGGAGGGGGAUAACUACUGGAAACGGUAGCUAAUACCGCAUAACGUCGCAAGACCAAAGUGGGGGACCUUCGGGCCUCAUGCCAUCAGAUGUGCCCAGAUGGGAUUAGCUAGUAGGUGGGGUAACGGCUCACCUAGGCGACGAUCCCUAGCUGGUCUGAGAGGAUGACCAGCCACACUGGAA